GGACUACUGGGGUUUCUAAUCCUGUUUGAUACCCACGCUUUCGUGCUUCAGUGUCAGUUAUGCCUUAGUAAGCUGCCUACGCAAUCGGAGUUCUGCGUGAUCUCUAAGCAUUUCACCGCUACACCACGCAUUCCGCCUACUUCAUCCAUACUCAAGACCAACAGUUUCAACGGCAUUUUUAUCGUUAAGCGACCAAAAUUUCACCGCUGACUUAUCAGCCCACCUACGCACCCUUUAAACCCAAUAAAUCCGGAUAACGCUCGCAUCCUCCGUAUUACCGCGGCUGCUGGCAC
Molecule: ribosomal RNA, 293 nt
Filed under: uncultured Bacteroidota bacterium
Lineage: Bacteria; Pseudomonadati; Bacteroidota
Description: uncultured Bacteroidetes bacterium partial 16S ribosomal RNA
Source: RNAcentral